Molecule: ribosomal RNA, 1412 nt
Filed under: Myxobolus sp.
Lineage: Eukaryota; Metazoa; Cnidaria; Myxozoa; Bivalvulida; Myxobolidae
Description: SSU rRNA
Rfam family: Eukaryotic small subunit ribosomal RNA
Source: RNAcentral
UCUGCCAGUGUGCAUACGCUCUUUUUAAAGAUUAAGCCAUGCACGUGAAAGUUCAUACAUUAAAAAUGUGAGACUGCGGAAGGCUCAGUAAAUCAGUUAUAAUCUGCUCGAUUGUAUAGGUUAUUGGAUAACCGUGGGAAAUCUAGAGCUAAUACAUGUAAUUGGGAGCGGUUUCGGCCGUCUCAUGGCAUUUAUUAGACAAUUACCAAUCGCGGGGCAACCCGUGUGGUGAAUCUAGAUAACUUAGCAGAUCGUAUGGCCUAGUGCCGGCGACGUUUCGAUUGAAUUUCUGCCCUAUCAACUAUUGUCGGUAGUGUAGUGGACUACCGAGGUUUUUACGGGUGACGGGGGAUCAGGGUUCGAUUCCGGAGAGGGAGCCUGAGAAACGGCUACCACAUCCAAGGAAGGCAGCAGGCGCGCAAAUUACCCAAUCCAGACAAUGGGAGGUGGUGACGAAAAGUACCAGAUGACGGUCAAAGACUGUCAAUCUGGAAUGGAAUCAAUUUAAGCAAUUGAUUGAGGAACGACUAGAGGGCAAGUCUGGUGCCAGCAGCCGCGGUAAUUCCAGCUCUAGUAGCGUAUCCCAAAGUUGCUGCGCUUAAAACGCUCGUAGUUGGAUCACAAACUAUAUUCGAGUUGGUGUGGUGCUGUGUCAAAUUUAAAGAUUUUCCGGGGUGUCAUCAUUUCGGAAAUGAUUUAUGUGGUGCAGUGUUACUACCGUAAGCUAGUGUAUAGUAAUUGCACGUGAGGAUAGACAUUCGCCUUGAAUGAGUAGAUGUUUGUGUCUCACGGAGUGUGCCUUGAAUAAAUCAAAGUGCUUAAAGCAGGCUUUACGCUUGAAUGUUAAAGCAUGGAACGAACAAUCGUGUAGGGUGCAUGUUGAUUUAUGGGUGCAGGGCCCAGCUCUGCAUUCAUCAACAUGUGACACCGACCACCAAUAACGGAUGUUGGUUCCGUAUUGGGGUAUUGAUUAAGAGGAGCGGUUGGGGGCAUUGGUAUUUGGCAGCGAGAGGUGAAAUUCUUGGACCUGUCAAGGACUAACAAAUGCGAAGGCAUCUGUCCAGACCGUAUCCAUUAAUCAAGAACGAUAGUGAGAGGUUCGAAGACGAUCAGAUACCGUCCUAGUUCUCACUGUAAACUAUGCCGACCCGGGAUCAGUUUGGAGCUUUAUUCCAUGCUCGGAGUUGGUCCCCCUGGGAAACCUAAAGUUUUUCGGUUGCGGGGGGAGUAUGGUCGCAAGGCUGAAACUUAAAGGAAUUGACGGAAGGGCACCACCAGGGGUGGAGCCUGCGGCUUAAUUUGACUCAACACGGGAAAACUUACCUGGUCCGAACAUCCGAAGGAUACACAGACUAAUAGAUCUUUGUUGAUGGGGUGAAAAGUGGUGCAUGGCCGUUCUUAGUUCGUGGAGU